GAUGAAGAACGUAGCGAAAUGCGAUAAGUAAUGUGAAUUGCAGAAUUCAGUGAAUCAUCGAAUCUUUGAACGCACCUUGCACCCUUUGGCAUUCCGAAGGGUAUGCUCGUUUGAGUGUCAUUGUACUCUCACACUUCCGAUCUUUGGAUUGGGAGCGGUGGACUUGGGUGUUGCUGCUUACUGUGGCUCACCUCAAAUCGAUUCGUGCACCUCUUGGUUGGACAUAGUACGGCGUGAUAAGUGUCUUCGCCGGCACCUCAGUAGAGGGUGGCUGAUCGGGAGCUCUGUGCUUCAAACCGUCAUCGGACAACAACUGACAACUUGACCUCAAAUCGAGUAGGACUACCCGCUGAACUUAAGCAUAUCAAUAAGCGGAGGA
RNAcentral lists this unclassified non-coding RNA (379 nucleotides) under soil metagenome. RNAcentral describes it as "partial contains 5.8S ribosomal RNA, internal transcribed spacer 2, and large subunit ribosomal RNA". The stretch from base 1 to 120 matches the Rfam family "5.8S ribosomal RNA", at positions 35 to 154 of the family's 154-position model. The record is from RNAcentral.